GGUGGCUCAGUGGUAGAGUGCUUGCCUAGCAGGCAUGAGGCCCUGGGUUCAAUUCCUCAGCACCA
Molecule: transfer RNA, 65 nt
Filed under: Dipodomys ordii (Ord's kangaroo rat)
Lineage: Eukaryota; Metazoa; Chordata; Mammalia; Rodentia; Heteromyidae
Rfam family: tRNA
About the family: Transfer RNA (tRNA) molecules are approximately 80 nucleotides in length. Their secondary structure includes four short double-helical elements and three loops (D, anti-codon, and T loops).
Source: Rfam by way of RNAcentral